CCUACGGGGGGCUGCAGUGGGGAAUAUUGCACAAUGGGGGAAACCCUGAUGCAGCGACGCCGCGUGAGCGAUGAAGGCCUUCGGGUCGUAAAGCUCUGUCCUAAGGGAAGAUAAUGACGGUACCUUAGGAGGAAGCCCCGGCUAACUACGUGCCAGCAGCCGCGGUAAUACGUAGGGGGCGAGCGUUGUCCGGAAUUACUGGGCGUAAAGGGUGCGUAGGCGGUCAUGUAAGUCAGAUGUGAAAGCCCUCGGCUUAACCGAGGUAAGCAUUUGAAACUGGGAGACUUGAGUGCAGAAGAGGAAAGCGGAAUUCCACGUGUAGCGGUGAAAUGCGUAGAGAUGUGGAGGAACACCAGUGGCGAAGGCGGCUUUCUGGUCUGUAACUGACGCUGAGGCGCGAAAGCGUGGGGAGCAAACAGGAUUAGAUACCCGUGUAGUC
Molecule: ribosomal RNA, 439 nt
Filed under: uncultured bacterium
Lineage: Bacteria
Description: bacterial SSU rRNA
Rfam family: Bacterial small subunit ribosomal RNA
Source: RNAcentral